UGAUUUCAAGUYUGGCCUGCCCGUUGAGGAGUUUAAAGGCCGCGGUAUACUGACCGUGCAAAGGUAGCAUAAUCACUAGUUUUUUAAUUGGAAGCUUGUAUGAAAGGUUUGAUGAGAAAAUGACUGUCUCUGAAGGAAUUUGUUAGAAUUUUAUUUUUAAGUGAAAAAGCUUAGAUAAUCAUGGAAGACGAGAAGACCCUAUAGAGUUUUACAGGAAUACAGUGGUUAAAGAUUAGGAAUUUUAGUUUAAAUCUGAUUGUUCUGUUUUGUUGGGGUGAUAGGAAAAUUGGAUUAACUUUUCUUUAUAUUAAUAUUAGUUUAUAGAUAAAUGAUCCUAGAUUAAGAUUAAAAGAUUAAAUUACCUUAGGGAUAACAGCGUUAUUUUUUUUAGAGUUCUUAUCGAAAAAAUAGAUUGCGACCUCGAUGUUGGAUUAAAAUUAAUUGUUGGUGAAGAAGCUAAUCAAUUAGGUCUGUUCGACCUUUAAAAUUUUACAUGAUC
Molecule: ribosomal RNA, 499 nt
Filed under: Trigonopterus rotundatus
Lineage: Eukaryota; Metazoa; Arthropoda; Insecta; Coleoptera; Curculionidae
Description: partial large subunit ribosomal RNA
Source: RNAcentral